GCACAGCCUGAUACACCUGUUGAAAACAAUGUGAACAAUGGGAACAGCAAUGUGCCUCCUCUUUCUUCUGUAGCUGUGGGCAGAUCUAGCAAUAUUGAAAUGAGACCAGUAACAAGUGAUUCUCACUCACAGUCUGUUGAAAUGCAGCUUGAACAGAAUGAAGCUGCUGUCCGUGAUGUUGAAGCGGUUAGCCAAGAAAGUAGUGGGAGUGGGGCAACUUUAGGGGAAAGCCUUCGGAGCCUAGAUGUUGAAAUUGGAAGUGCUGA
RNAcentral lists this unclassified non-coding RNA (266 nucleotides) under Hevea brasiliensis (rubber tree). Lineage: Eukaryota; Viridiplantae; Streptophyta; Magnoliopsida; Malpighiales; Euphorbiaceae. The record is from RNAcentral.